This 502-nucleotide ribosomal RNA is filed under the name uncultured Glomeromycotina. RNAcentral's name for it is "SSU rRNA". It matches the Rfam family "Eukaryotic small subunit ribosomal RNA", at positions 569 to 1074 of the family's 1831-position model. Lineage: Eukaryota; Fungi; Glomeromycota. The record is from RNAcentral.
AGCAGCCGCGGUAAUUCCAGCUCCAAUAGCGUAUAUUAAAGUUGUUGCAGUUAAAAAGCUCGUAGUUGAAUUUCGGGGUCAGCAGGUUGGUCGUGCCAAUGGUAUGCACUGGCCUUGCUGAUUCCUCCCUCUUGAUGAGCCGUAAUGCCAUUAAUUUGGUGUUGCGGGGAAUCAGGACUGUUACUUUAGAAAAAUUAGAGUGUUUAAAGCAGGCAAGCGCUUGAAUACAUUAGCAUGGAAUAAUGAAAUAGGACGUUUGAUCCUAUUUUGUUGGUUUCUAGGAUUGACGUAAUGAUUAAUAGGGAUAGUUGGGGGCAUUAGUAUUCAAUUGUCAGAGGUGAAAUUCUUGGAUUUAUUGAAGACUAACUACUGCGAAAGCAUUUGCCAAGGAUGUUUUCAUUAAUCAAGAACGAAAGUUAGGGGAUCGAAGACGAUCAGAUACCGUCGUAGUCUUAACCAUAAACUAUGCCGACUAGGGAUCGGAUGAUGUUAAUUUUAAUGA